RNAcentral lists this ribosomal RNA (468 nucleotides) under uncultured bacterium. Its description in RNAcentral is "partial 16S ribosomal RNA". It matches the Rfam family "Bacterial small subunit ribosomal RNA", at positions 28 to 507 of the family's 1533-position model. The record is from RNAcentral.
GACGAACGCUGGCGGCGCGCCUAACACAUGCAAGUCGAACGGAGCUGCGAGAAGCUUGCUUUUCUUAGCUUAGUGGCGAACGGGUGAGUAACGCGUGAGUAACCUGCCCUGGAGUGGGGGACAACAGUUGGAAACGACUGCUAAUACCGCAUAAGCCCACGAUCCGGCAUCGGAUUGAGGGAAAAGGAUUUAUUCGCUUCAGGAUGGACUCGCGUCCAAUUAGCUAGUUGGUGAGGUAACGGCCCACCAAGGCGACGAUUGGUAGCCGGACUGAGAGGUUGAACGGCCACAUUGGGACUGAGACACGGCCCAGACUCCUACGGGAGGCAGCAGUGGGGGAUAUUGCACAAUGGGGGAAACCCUGAUGCAGCGACGCCGCGUGGAGGAAGAAGGUUUUCGGAUUGUAAACUCCUGUCGUUAGGGACGAUAAUGACGGUACCUAACAAGAGAGCGCCGGCUAACUACGUG